GGAGAAAGAGCAAGGAGAGUGUGAUCUGAAGCAACAGCUGCUGCAGGCUCUGCAGGAGGUAACGUAAUCUCUCCCACUUCCCGCGGCUGUGGUAGUUGUGAGUGGGGAACAGCCAAGCACCACAUGGCCACUAGCUGCCUCUGCCUCUUAGCCCACUCCUCUGUGUUGUCUCCAGUCUGCAAACAGAACAGGUGCCAGAUGCUCACACCAUCCGGCUGGAGAUUUGGAGCCUCACAGAUACGCACCAGAUCUCAGGCGUGGAAGCGUAUGUCUCCAUCAAGCAGAAGGCGCCCUGGUGAUGACAGAGCAGCCUGGAGACGAUCUCGGGAUAGGGGCUCUACUUCAGAAUAGCGAGGGCAGCGGCGGGCAGAGGUUAGCUACGCCUGGGCCAGGGGGCCCGUAAG
This 404-nucleotide long non-coding RNA is filed under the name Rattus norvegicus (Norway rat). Its description in RNAcentral is "long non-coding RNA NONRATT017222". Lineage: Eukaryota; Metazoa; Chordata; Mammalia; Rodentia; Muridae. The record is from RNAcentral.